AAGAUUAAGCCAUGCAUGUCUAAGUAUAAGCAAUUUAUACAGUGAAACUGCGAAUGGCUCAUUAAAUCAGUUAUAGUUUAUUUGAUAAUACCUUACUACUUGGAUAACCGUAGUAAUUCUAGAGCUAAUACAUGCUAAAAACCCGACUCUCGGAAGGGUUGUAUUUAUUAGAUAAAAACCAAUGCGGUCUCGGCCGGUUAUUUGGUGAUUCAUAAUAACUUUGCGAAUCGUAU
This 233-nucleotide ribosomal RNA is filed under the name uncultured fungus. Its description in RNAcentral is "partial 18S ribosomal RNA". It matches the Rfam family "Eukaryotic small subunit ribosomal RNA", at positions 40 to 274 of the family's 1831-position model. Lineage: Eukaryota; Fungi. The record is from RNAcentral.